This 433-nucleotide ribosomal RNA is filed under the name uncultured bacterium. RNAcentral's name for it is "partial 16S ribosomal RNA". It matches the Rfam family "Bacterial small subunit ribosomal RNA", at positions 29 to 507 of the family's 1533-position model. The record is from RNAcentral.
AACGAACGCUGGCGGCAUGCCUAACACAUGCAAGUCGAACGAGACCUUCGGGUCUAGUGGCGCACGGGUGCGUAACGCGUGGGAACCUGCCCUUAGGUUCGGAAUAACUCCCCGAAAGGGGUGCUAAUACCGGAUAAUGCCUUCGGACCAAAGAUUUAUCGCCUUUGGAUGGGCCCGCGUUGGAUUAGCUAGUUGGUAGGGUAAAAGCCUACCAAGGCGACGAUCCAUAGCUGGUCUGAGAGGAUGAUCAGCCACACUGAGACUGAGACACGGCCCAGACUCCUACGGGAGGCAGCAGUGGGGAAUAUUGGACAAUGGGCGAAAGCCUGAUCCAGCAAUGCCGCGUGAGUGAUGAAGGCCUUAGGGUUGUAAAGCUCUUUUACCCGGGAUGAUAAUGACAGUACCGGGAGAAUAAGCUCCGGCUAACUCCGUG